RNAcentral lists this unclassified non-coding RNA (250 nucleotides) under plant metagenome. RNAcentral's name for it is "partial contains small subunit ribosomal RNA, internal transcribed spacer 1, and 5.8S ribosomal RNA". The stretch from base 193 to 250 matches the Rfam family "5.8S ribosomal RNA", at positions 1 to 55 of the family's 154-position model. The record is from RNAcentral.
GUAGGUGAACCUGCGGAAGGAUCAUUAAAGAUUCGACCUUCGGGUCUAUCUUCUCUUCAGCUGUGCGCUUUUGCUGCACGCUGUUGAACUUCACACACCUGUGCACACUUCGGUUGCGGUUAGUUAACUCUAGCUGCUUCCGCUUUUACAUUUAACUACUAAGUCUUGAAUGUCAAAUACAAUAAAAAUAACAACUUUCAACAACGGAUCUCUUGGCUCUCGCAUCGAUGAAGAACGCAGCAUCUGACUG